Molecule: ribosomal RNA, 230 nt
Filed under: uncultured bacterium
Lineage: Bacteria
Description: partial 16S ribosomal RNA
Rfam family: Archaeal small subunit ribosomal RNA
Source: RNAcentral
UCCGUAGCUGGACUCUUAAGUCUCUUGGGAAAUCCGCCGGCUUAACCGGCGGGCGUCUAAGAGAUACUGGGAGUCUAGGGACCGGGAGAGGUGAGAGGUACUCCGGGGGUAGGAGUGAAAUCCUGUAAUCCCUGGGGGACCACCGAUGGCGAAGGCAUCUCACCAGAACGGCUCCGACAGUGAGGGACGAAAGCUGGGGGAGCGAACAGGAUUAGAUACCCUGGUAGUCC